RNAcentral lists this ribosomal RNA (492 nucleotides) under uncultured bacterium. RNAcentral's name for it is "partial 16S ribosomal RNA". It matches the Rfam family "Bacterial small subunit ribosomal RNA", at positions 29 to 507 of the family's 1533-position model. The record is from RNAcentral.
AGUGAACGCUGGCGGUAGGCCUAACACAUGCAAGUCGAACGGCAGCACAGUAAGAGCUUGCUCUUACGGGUGGCGAGUGGCGGACGGGUGAGGAAUACAUCGGAAUCUACUUUUUCGUGGGGGAUAACGUAGGGAAACUUACGCUAAUACCGCAUACGACCUACGGGUGAAAGCAGGGGAUCUUCGGACCUUGCGCGAUUGAAUGAGCCGAUGUCGGAUUAGCUAGUUGGCGGGGUAAAGGCCCACCAAGUCGACGAUCCGUAGCUGGUCUGAGAGGAUGAUCAGCCACACUGGAACUGAGACACGGUCCAGACUCCUACGGGAGGCAGCAGUGGGGAAUAUUGGACAAUGGGCGCAAGCCUGAUCCAGCCAUACCGAGUGGGUGAAGAAGGCCUUCGGGUUGUAAAGCCCUUUUGUUGGGAAAGAAAAGCAGCAGGUUAAUACCCCGCUGUUCUGACGGUACCCAAAGAAUAAGCACCGGCUAACUUCGUG